AGAGAGUGAGAGUCUCGUAUGCGAAAUCGAAAGUGGCGAGGGGGGUACCUGAGUAGGGCGGGACACGUGCAAUCCCGUUUGAAUCUGGGAGGACCAUCUUCCAAGGCUAAAUACUCCCUGGCGACCGAUAGUGGACCAGUACCGUGAGGGAAAGGUGAAAAGAACCCCAGUGAGGGGAGUGCAAGAGAACCUGAAACCGUAUGCCUACAAGCAGUGGGAGCACCUUUGGGUGUGACCGCGUGCCUUUUGCAUAAUGGGCCAGUGAGUUCAUCUGUAGUGCGAG
This 283-nucleotide ribosomal RNA is filed under the name Bigelowiella natans. RNAcentral's name for it is "partial Bacterial large subunit ribosomal RNA". It matches the Rfam family "Bacterial large subunit ribosomal RNA", at positions 359 to 644 of the family's 2925-position model. Lineage: Eukaryota; Cercozoa; Chlorarachniophyceae. The record is from RNAcentral.